Molecule: long non-coding RNA, 276 nt
Organism: Calypte anna (Anna's hummingbird)
Lineage: Eukaryota; Metazoa; Chordata; Aves; Apodiformes; Trochilidae
Exons: 3
Source: RefSeq, a predicted model, not a curated record
GCAGUCCUGGCAGCCUCUGGAAGUUGAACAUUCCUGAGAAAUGCUCUGGAUGUUCAUGAAAUACCUCCAGCCCUCCCAUCGAGUAGACAUCAUCCUCAUGGCCAUCAAGAACAUGAAAGGCCCAGGGCAGUACAGCAGGAGCUGUCUACCUACAUGGUAGACAUCCUUGUGAGCCAACCUGUCUUCCAUACACAGCAUGGAUGACUUCCCCUCCACCAAGCAGCCCAUGCCCAUGCCAGCAGCUAUGGGAGCAGAGGCAGAAACCAAGACCUUGCU